CCCGCAAGGGACCUCCUGCACAGGUGCUGCAUGGCUGUCGUCAGCUCGUGUCGUGAGAUGUUGGGUUAAGUCCCGCAACGAGCGCAACCCUCGCCUUUAGUUGCCAGCACGUUUGGGUGGGCACUCUAGAGGAACUGCCGGUGACAAGCCGGAGGAAGGUGGGGAUGACGUCAAGUCCUCAUGGCCCUUAUGUCCUGGGCUACACACGUGCUACAAUGGCGGUGACAGUGGGAAGCUAGAUGGUGACAUCGUGCCGAUCUCUAAAAGCCGUCUCAGUUCGGAUUGUACUCUGCAACUCGAGUGCAUGAAGGUGGAAUCGCUAGUAAUCGCGGAUCAGCAUGCCGCGGUCGAAUACGUUCCGGGCCUUGUACACACCGCCCGUCACACCAUGGGAGUUGGUUUGACCCGAAGCCGGUGAGCGAACCGCAAGGACGCAGCCGACCACGGUCGGGUCAGCGACUGGGGUGAAGUCGUAACAAGGUAGGCGUAGACGU
RNAcentral lists this ribosomal RNA (494 nucleotides) under uncultured bacterium. Its description in RNAcentral is "bacterial SSU rRNA". It matches the Rfam family "Bacterial small subunit ribosomal RNA", at positions 1016 to 1509 of the family's 1533-position model. The record is from RNAcentral.